GGUGGCGUCGAGCUGGCCCUGGCUCAGCGCCAGGAAAACGUCGGCCUGC
Molecule: small RNA, 49 nt
Filed under: Sinorhizobium meliloti 2011
Lineage: Bacteria; Pseudomonadati; Pseudomonadota; Alphaproteobacteria; Hyphomicrobiales; Rhizobiaceae
Description: putative ncRNA
Source: RNAcentral